Molecule: RNA transcript, 6228 nt
Organism: Biomphalaria glabrata
Lineage: Eukaryota; Metazoa; Mollusca; Gastropoda; Planorbidae
Gene name: kelch-like protein 24
Exons: 3
Source: RefSeq, a predicted model, not a curated record
UACAUUUUAUGUAUUUCAAUUAGCAUUAACUAAUAACGUUUAGACAUGUUUCUCUCGUCAAAAUUAGCAGCUUGUGACGCUAGAACAAAAAAUCUACAGAUUCCAAAGAUCGUCCCUUCUAAAAAAGGUAAUAGAAAUUUGAAAAUUUCAAGUGAAGUUCUUAUUCUUCAGUCGAGGCUCGAACAGAGAAAUGUUUUGCGACUUCACUGUCGUGGUAGAAGAACGUGAGUUUCCCUGUCAUAGAUUUGUACUCAACGCAUGCUCUGGAUUUUUUGAGGCUCUGUUGAAAGAACGUCGAGAAAAUAGAGUCUUUAUCCAAGGCAUUACUCCAAAUAUUUUUGAACUUAUCCUCGACACGAUCUACAGCGGCUCUGAUGUUCCAACUCUGGAGACCAUACAAGAAAUAUGGAAGGCUGCUCAUCAACUCCAGAUUACGUUUUUGAUGUAUUUAUGUGAAGAUUUUGUUAAGGAGAACUUGAAUGAAAGUAACUGCUACGAAAUGUACAUCUUGGCGAAGAUUUUAUCUUCAGAGAAAAUUGUCAAAUUCGCAAUCAACUUUAUGGCAACCCAAUGCUAUACUUUUAAUCCUGCGACGUUUGCAAAAAUCAAAUUUGAAGAUUUAAAAACAAUCAUGCAGAUUCAAGAAUCAACAGCUUGUGUUCCCUACAUAAGUUUAAGUUGGUAGCUGUAAAAUGAUGAUCUCCUAGAAAUAUUAAUUGAUACAAACUUAUUUUAAUUCACUUUGUCUGUCUGUGUAUUUGUCUGGUAAAAAAGUUUGUACAUGUUAUUUCUCCCACAUACAUUCUCCGAUCAAGUUGAAACUUUGCACAAUUAUUCAUUGGCUGAGGCUAGACAAGAAUCAAUUUUUUAAAAUAAAAAAUUAAAAAAUUAGCCUAUUAAUUACUGGUAAUUAAUUAUUUUGUUUGAUAUCAACAAGGGCAAUUAAUUCUUCAGUAUUCACAGAUACGGCUAUAUAAGUAGGGUUUCGUCCCUUCAGAUAUUUGAACACGUUAUUCAGCCCACACUCAUUCCUGGACAGUAAAACCAAGUACAUCACAAUGACAAGAGACAAUCAAACAGAGGGACAAAAUAUCAAAAUCAAAGACCACGAAUUUGAAAACGUCCAAACUUUCAAAUAUCUAGGAAGUACUAUUAAUUUCAAAAAUGACCUACUAACAGAAAUAAAGGAAAGAAUAGCAGCAGGCAACAGGGCAUUUUAUAGCACCCACCAUCUACUUAAGAGCAAAAUGAUUUCAAGUAAAACCAAGAAAAUAAUAUACAAAACUAUAAUAAGACCAGCAGCAAUGUAUGGAAGUGAGACCUGGACACUGACAAAGACAUCUGAAAAUUUACUUAACACUUGGGAAAGAAAAAUCCUUAGGAAAAUCUAUGGUGCCAUACAGGAUGAAACAGGGUGGAGGACACGCAUUAACCAUGAGUUAUAUCAAUUAUAUGAAGACCCACCAAUAGUGAACGAAAUAAAAAAGAACAGACUACGUUGGGCAGGUCACCUUGAAAGAAUGUCAGACAUCAGAGGGGCGAAAAUCGUAUACAGGCAAAAACCAAAAGGCAGGCGACUCAAAGGCAGACCCCGAAUGCGAUGGAUAGAUGACGUGGAAGCAGAUCUGAAGCAGCUUGGGGUUAGGGCGUGGAGAGGCGUGGCCCAGGAGAGAUCUGAAUGGAAGGAUGUGUUAAAGCAGGCCAGAGCCCUCCAUGGGCUGUAGCGCCACUGGGAUGGAUGGAUGGAUGGACUCAUUCCUGGAUCACGUUGAAACUUUAAAUAAUUAUUUAUUGCACUUUACACAGCAUAAAUCAAUUUGAAAAUAACCAAUUAGUCAAUUAAUUAUUUAUAUUUUUUUAAAUUCGAAUAAUUUAAAUAACAUCUACAUUCUUGAGAGAUAUAGUUGUUCAAUAAACUUGUGUAGGAUCGAGGCAUUAAGGAUACACUUUUCUAUUGCUGUUAUCUACAACCAGCAGUCGGAGGCGCGGUGGCUGAGUGGUAAAGCACUUUGCUUCCUAACCGGGGGAUCCUGGGUUCCAAUACUGGUGAAGACUGGCAAUUUUAAUUUUUGGAUGUUUUGGCGCCUCUGAGUCAACCCAGCUCUAAUGGGUACCUGACAUUAGUUGGGGAAAAGUAAAGGCGGUUGUCCGUUGUGCUGGCCACAUGACACCCUCGUUAACCGUAGUCCAAAGAAACAGUUGAUCUUUAUAUUAUCUGCCCUAUAGACCACAAAGUCUGAAAGGGGAACUUUACUUUUUACAACCAGCAGUAGUCCCUUAUUUCUGAAACUACACGGUAUCUGAAAAAAAUGUAUCACUCGAUGUUACUUUUGAAACUGAAGCUCUAUUAUCACAAUAUAUAAAUGUAAUUGAUUGUUAGGAUGUUUUUUUGCACACUUUAAGUGUUCUCAUUAAAACAUAGAUUAAAAGUAACAAUCAAAAUAGUAAUUCUAUGUUCAUGUGUAAUUUUUACUUUUUAAAAUAAAAUUGUGACCUCAAGAGACAUAGUCCUCAGAUAUAAAAUAAAUUAAAUCAAUUUAAAAUUGUCCAAUGCAUCAUUCACUCCAUUGUUUAUACAAACUAAGCCAAGAACAAGAUGUAAAUACAUGUAAGCAGUACACUUAGUCACUAGGCACAAAAGAAAACGCUACCACACGAUAAAGGACGUAGUUUGAAAUGUCCCAAGAAUUCUCGCCGGAUCGGCUUGGGUGCUAAAAACAAAUGUCAGUCCUUCAUUACUGAAAAAAUGCAUUGAGAAAAAAAAUACAUUGAGAAAAAAAAUGAAAUGAAAGAAAAACGAAUUUUAAUGAAAAACUUUGAAAAAAAAAUCUUUAAAAAAGAAAAACGUUAUUCCAUUAUAUGCCGUAAAAGAAAAAAAUUGCAAUCAUGAUCAGAACUCGUAGCUUUCACUGUUACGCGACCUGCCAAGUACAUUCAGUUUUUGACUUUUUAAAAAAAGAUAACAACUUUUCUAGGUAUUGACAGUUUCAAGAUUUUCCCGAAAUGAUUUGACAAAGGUUGUUUCAAUAUCAUGUGAUUUCAAUUAUAAGCAAAAGACUUCAACAUGAAUUCCUCUUUUUUCUCAACUCCAGGACAGGGAUUUGGUAGUGGUGUAAAAGCUUCAAUGUAUCCACAGCCUUUUAAUGACAACAUUUCUAAGAAGAAUGACAGACAACUGAAAAUUGCUAAGGACGUUCUGAAUUGCUUCAGUCAGGGCUCAAACAGAGAAAUGUUUUGUGACUUCAUUGUCGUGGUAGAAGAACGUGAGUUUCCAUGUCAUAGAUUUGUACUGAGUGCGUGCUCUACAUUCUUUGAGGCUCUGCUGAGGUCAGACAUGAAAGAAAGCAGACAAAAGCGAGUCGUAGUCAAAGGAAUGUCCCCAGAUAUAUUUAAACUUAUCCUCGAUGUGAUCUACAGUGGCUCUGAUGUUUUGACCCCGAAGACCAUAAUAGAAAUCUGGAAGGCUGCUCAUCAACUCCAGAUUGUCUUCUUGAUGUCCUUAUGUGAGGAUUUUAUUCAGGAGAACUUGAAUGAAGCCAACUGCUACUAAAUGUACAGCCUCGCGCAACUUUUAUCUUCCGAGAAAAUCAUCAAUUUGGCGAUCAACUUUAUGGCUAAACACUUUUACAACUUUGCUCAGUCGGGGAUGUUUGAACAGAUGGAAGUUGAAGACUUCAAAAAAGUUUUACAAUUUCAAGAAUCAACAGUGUGUGUCGAUUUUAAAAUCGAGACUAUCAUAAACUGGUGUCAAAAAGAUAACAUUAACUCAGAUGGCUCAGAAAUGGACAGACUAAAAUACCUUGGAACAUUGUUUCAUGCUGUGAAUCUAUCUCAAGUUAGUAAAAUAUGUUUGGCCUCCCUUAUGACUAAUAAGCAUGUCUUGGCCAACACAGCGGCAAUAACAGCAGUCAAUAUGCAAGCUUCUCAGAUAGUAAUAAAUCCUAAUUAUGAACUCGUAUUUCAGAAUAUAAAGGGAUUUAAUUCACCAUUUCUGCAAACAAGUAAUACCUGUCUGCACUGCAGUAACAAAUCAAUGAAAGGCUUUCGCUGCGGCAAAUGACCGGCCCUAACUAUUGCUGGGCUCUAUGCGAAACGGAUUGCGCCGUCUGGAUAGGGAUAAGGACAAUAAGUGAAAAUUAAGAUUUUUAUUAGAAAAUAUAUUCAUCUUUGCCUUUUAUUCAUUCUUUACAAAAUAACGAUCAACUUUACUUUCCGAGCAUUGCGUGUAGCGAAGUCAUACAGUAGAUCAUCAAAAUUCUGGAUCACAUUCAAUAGCAGGAAUUGCCAAAUUGUUCAAUCUAUCUUCGUGAAUUGUCACCCUCAAUUUAUUUUCGAUUAAUUUGAGGCGCGAGAAGCUUCUUUCACCAAAACCACAGUUACGGGUAUUGUUAAAAAUAUUCUGAGUGCAACAAAGUAAUUUGGAGAAGCAGUGUAUCUAGUGGACAGAUAUGCUAAAAGUUCUACCGAGUUUUAGCGGUAUUUUGUAGAAUAUGCCUUAAAGAUGACAAUUUUGUCUAUUUUUCCUAGGAGAUUUUUAUGAGUUUUCAGUAGAUUUUAAUGAUUCUAUGAGAUUUCUAGGCGCUCCUGGAAAAUCGGGAGGCCGCGAGAACCCUGUAAUAUAAGUUAUAAUGUUUAAUUUAACGAUAUACACUUCGAAUUAGCGAGGGGCCUAUGAAAGUGCGGGGCCCACUGCAGCCGUAUAGGUUGCAGUGACCUAAGGCCGGUCUUAAUGAGGCCCAUCGUGUCAAGAGAAUGUGUAUCUUAAAAUUAACUAUAAGUGAGCUUAUCUUUCGUGGUUAUAGGAAGCAGUGGAGUCCAUGUUUCGCUAUGAAAAUAUAUCUACAUUCAGGACAUGGUUAGUUUGGGCUUAUUAAUUCCAUUAAUUGCAUUUCGUUUGCAUUUUUUGGCUUGCCGUUUUCACUUCGAAGUCGUCUAUCCUCUUUGCCUUGUAGCAUUUGUCACAUUCAGCAGCACAUUUCUGUUACCGAGCGGAUACAGCCUAGUCAUGAUGCAUAGAAAUGGGAAGUUCUUGAAGAGAUAGUUUUGAAACAAGCAAGUGGGUCACUAGAAAAAAAAAUAUUCCUUAAGAAAGUUUGCAGGAAGUGUUAAAUAUAACGUAUUCACCUAGCAAAGUCUUGGGAGACUAUAUAAGAAAUACAAAGACAUCGAAGUCAUAGGUCAUUUUGAUCAGCAGUCGUUAAAUAGUAGUUAUUCACUGUGCUUUAUUUUAUACUGAUAUUAUAUUGUCAGACAGUCAAGGUCAGGGACGUUUCAUUUCACAAAAUUGUGUGUGGAGCUUUAUAACGCAGACAGACGAUAAGGCUACAUCUAUUGGGCCAAAAAAGUGUUUAUGCAUAGGCUACAUUAGAGAGUUGCGGGCCCUAAGAUUCAAGGAUGAAAAAGACACACACACACACACACACACAAAGAGAACUUAUAGAAUUUGAGGACCAGAAAAAUUGUGUUUGGAGUAGAAGAGCAUUGUAAUGCGGGCUGUUUUAUUAAAGCUUAGGGGCGUAACAUAAAUUUUGAUUGAUGUUUGUUUUACACAUUCAGUUCUUUCAUUCAUACAUACCUAUAACAUCCUAUAACCUUACCAUUUAACGUAUAAAUUAGCUUCAAAGCCUAUUAGAAGCUUCACUUUGAACAUCACAGCGAGUGAUAGGUAUUCAAUACUAUUUAUAAGUUUAAAAUAAAUUGUAAAAAAAAAAAAAAUAAACUUAAAAUCGUAAAUCAUAUAGCCAUGGAUAAAUUGUGGGUCAGAGUGGAGUCUGUUAUGUUUACUUCAUUUAAGAUUCUGUAUUGUUAUUCUAAGUGGACCAGAUACUUCAGCUCAUGUAUGAUUCACUGUUUGGUUGAUGGUUAGCAAAGUCCAUUUUAUGGCUUUUUUUUUUCCGCGCAAUAAAAACGAAUAUAAAAGAUACUUUGUAGAUUUGUAAUUUAAAAAAAAAUGUUAAUUUAGCAUAGUCAUUGUUGAAAGAUGUUUGUUAAGGAGUUUAUUUGUUAAGUCUUCUACAUCUUUCCAUUCUUCACGCUUUUAUUUAUUUCGCAUGGUUUUUGUUUUAUUGUUUACCAAGUCAGCACAUUGGAGGAGAAAUGAAUAUUUGUCAAAAUUAUGGUGUUGUGCUUUAAGAUUUUAAUUUCACUCUUGUCAAUUUCAUACUGUCGUCUUUCAACAUUGUUACAUUGUAAUGAGUAUACAAAUAAAUGCUUUUUUUAAAAUCACAA